Molecule: ribosomal RNA, 497 nt
Filed under: uncultured bacterium
Lineage: Bacteria
Description: partial 16S ribosomal RNA
Rfam family: Bacterial small subunit ribosomal RNA
Source: RNAcentral
GAUGAACGCUGGCGGCGUGCCUAAUACAUGCAAGUCGAGCGAACAGACGAGGAGCUUGCUCCUCGGACGUUAGCGGCGGACGGGUGAGUAACACGUGGAUAACCUACCUAUAAGACUGGGAUAACUUCGGGAAACCGGAGCUAAUACCGGAUAAUAUAUUGAACCGCAUGGUUGAAUAGUGAAAGACGGUUUUGCUGUCACUUAUAGAUGGAUCCGCGCCGCAUUAGCUAGUUGGUAAGGUAACGGCUUACCAAGGCAACGAGACGUAGCCGACCUGAGAGGGUGAUCGGCCACACUGGAACUGAGACACGGUCCAGACUCCUACGGGAGGCAGCAGUAGGGAAUCUUCCGCAAUGGGCGAAAGCCUGACGGAGCAACGCCGCGUGAGUGAUGAAGGUCUUCGGAUCGUAAAACUCUGUUAUUAGGGAAGAACAAAUGUGUAAGUAACUAUGCACGUCUUGACGGUACCUAAUCAGAAAGCCACGGCUAACUACGUG